GGCGCGCUUACACAUGCAAGUCGCACGAGAAAGCGGGGGCAACCUCGCAAGUAAAGUGGCGUACGGGUGAGUAACACGUGGGUAAUCUACCUCCGAGUGGGGAAUAACGCUGGGAAACCGGCGCUAAUACCGCAUAAGCUCGAGAGAGGAAAGCAGCAAUGCGCUGGGAGAGGAGCCCGCGGCCGAUUAGCUAGUUGGAGAGGUAAAGGCUCCCCAAGGCAAAGAUCGGUAGCCGGCCUGAGAGGGCACACGGCCACACUGGCACUGAAACACGGGCCAGACUCCUACGGGAGGCAGCAGUGGGGAAUCUUGCACAAUGGGGGAAACCCUGAUGCAGCGACGCCGCGUGAGCGAUGAAGCCCUUCGGGGUGUAAAGCUCUUUCGGCAGGGAAGAUGAUGACGGUACCUGCAGAAGCAGCUGCGGCUAACUACGUGCCAGCAGCCGCGGUAAUACGUAGGCAGCGAGCGUUGUUCGGAGUUACUGGGCGUAAAGGGUGUGUAGGCGGUUCUCUAAGUUUGGUGUGAAAUCUCCCGGCUCAACCGGGAGGGUGCGCCGAAAACUGGAGA
This 567-nucleotide ribosomal RNA is filed under the name uncultured bacterium. RNAcentral describes it as "bacterial SSU rRNA". It matches the Rfam family "Bacterial small subunit ribosomal RNA", at positions 41 to 639 of the family's 1533-position model. The record is from RNAcentral.